This 1616-nucleotide long non-coding RNA is filed under the name Rattus norvegicus (Norway rat). Its description in RNAcentral is "long non-coding RNA NONRATT024817". Lineage: Eukaryota; Metazoa; Chordata; Mammalia; Rodentia; Muridae. The record is from RNAcentral.
UAAAUUUUAACUUUUCUGGUUUUACAUCUAUAUACUUAAACAUAGUUUUAGUUUAACAUACACUGUGUAGUGGUGAAGUGUAGGUUACACACUUGUUUUGCAUAUUAUUUCAAUGGUGUUCACAGCAAUAAAUUUUCAAUGUGAGAAAAUAAUUCUGAGGUUGCAGGGUGAUGCCUCUGUAAAAACUGAUCGCACGACAUAAACAUCUAAAAGAAUGACACUAGGUUUCAUAAAAGAGAAAGAUACCAUUAUAACCAGCUUUAAUCAGCAAGGCAAAAAAAUGCAAAACAUCUUUUGUGGUACUUUAGUUGAUAAAACACAUGCCAAGAGGUGGCCUGGAUUUCAGACAUAACACUAUCCUAGAAGUACAUGUAAUUUCAAAGAAGUACAGCUGCCAAGAAAUUGUGUAAGACGUCUGAAAGGCUCUUCAUCACCCCAAAAAUAGAUGACACCGAGUUAAAAUUCAAUACCCAUUUCUUCUGUUUCAUAUCUUCAUAUAUUCUUAAUUUUGCAGGUUAAAAGAUCUCACAAGUCUUUUCCCUACCCCUCUCAUUCAGCCUUACUCAGGGAAAGCCAGAGUAAUAAAAAGGAACAUAAAACCACCAAUUUACAUAUAUAUAUAUGUUCCAUUGUAUCUAUUUAACACAAACUAAUUUCAUCUGAACGGAUUCUAAAAGAUGGUGGAAAAAUAAAUUGAAUUGUAACUUUCUAAAUGGUCUAUCUGGGAGGCUUACUGUUUGUAACUGAUUUCAGUGUUUCUUCCCAGAAAGAGUUUCAAAAUUUUACACAUAGAUAGAAACUGAUAGUACUGGUAAAAUAUAUAUCUAAUUUUACUGACCUACAAAAUACGUAGCAGGUUUUCCCCCCUGAAUGCAGAAGGAAAAGAGAGGACGCUGAAUUUUUGAAGGAAAAAGACUUGAAUCCAACCCAAUUAUCUUUAUACUAAAGAGGUCAGGUUCCGUGUGUCACCUGCAACUCACAGAAGUUUUCACACUACCUGGCACAAACUGACUACAUUUCUUGAUUGUAACUUUUCUGAUUGAGUAUGCUUCUUUUUUAAUCCAUGUAAUGUGUUGCCUUUAAAAACAAAAACGAUGACUACAAUAAUGUGUGAGGUGGUACAUCCCUAAGAAAUCAAGGAAAGGUCACUUCAAUCACACCCUUCUAGUGCUUCGCGUGACUGGAUAUCUAAGGGGUUUGUUUUGUUUUGUUUUUCUGUUGCAAGGCCAAUUUAUCCAUUAUUGAAAAUGCUAAGCAAGUGGAAUUUACUGUUUUGUUAAUAAAAUAUUUCUUAAUACAACUGUGGUUUAUUGACUUUAAAAAUUACAGGUGACACCAUUUUGCCACUGAAUAUAGCAGUCAGAAAGACUGCAUUUGAAAGGUAAUCUUAUCCCCAGACACACAGGAAAAGAUGAUUUCACACCCCUUUUGGUGUUUCCUACUCAGUCCAUCCCUCUGCUCAUACACUUAAGAUGCAGGUAGCUCUCAUGGAAAAUUGCAGAACUAGCAGGGAAUCAUACUGAUUCAUAUACUGAUUCAUAUAUACCGAUGUCAUAAAUACACUCUGUAAGUUGCAAUGGAAUCAAAGUUAAAUACACUUGUAAUUAACUAAAGAA